UACGAAGGGGGCUAGCGUUGUUCGGAAUUACUGGGCGUAAAGGGCGCGUAGGCGGUCUUGUAAGUCAGAUGUGAAAGCCCCGGGCUCAACCCGGGAAUAGCAUUUGAUACUGCGAGGCUUGAGUCCGGGAGAGGAUGGCGUAAUUCCCAGUGUAGAGGUGUAAUUCGUAGAUAUUGGGAAGAACCCCGCUGGCGAGGGCGGCCAUCUGGACCGGUACUGACGCUGAGUCGCGAAAGCGUGGCGAGCAAUUAGG
Molecule: ribosomal RNA, 253 nt
Filed under: uncultured bacterium
Lineage: Bacteria
Description: partial 16S ribosomal RNA
Rfam family: Bacterial small subunit ribosomal RNA
Source: RNAcentral